Marmota flaviventris (yellow-bellied marmot) is the source of this 993-nucleotide non-coding RNA. The record is from RefSeq and is a predicted model, not a curated record. Lineage: Eukaryota; Metazoa; Chordata; Mammalia; Rodentia; Sciuridae.
AUGGCAAUGACGGUGAGUCCCAGAAUAGGUAGGAUGGAGUGGAAGCCUCAUAUCUUUCCUAAGUCCAUCAAGUUCCUGUUUGUGGGCCUGGCCGGGCUCCAGCAGGCAUUAGUUCAUCUGGAAUAUCUGACUCUUGAUUCCAUUCCUGCCUUCCCCGGGAUGGGAGCUACAGAUUUUGUUCAGCCUCUAGACCUAGUGAAGAACUGGAUACAGCUAAGCAGGGAAGGGGCCAAGACAAGAGAGUAUAAAAUCAGCUUCCAUGCCCUCAAAGCAUCCUGAAGGGAAAAGGACUAAUAGGCAUUUACACUGGACUGCCAGCUGGUCUCCUGUGCCAGGCCACCUACAUCACUACUUGCCUUGGCAUUUAUACCCUGCUUCUUGAGUGCCUGACCAGAGCUGAUGGUACACCCCCUGACUUUCUGCUUCAUGAAGGUCCUGAUAGGCAUGACCACAGGUACAACUGGUGCCUUUGUAGGAACACUAGCCAAGGAGACUCUUAUCAGUAUGACUGCUGGAUGGUCAGCUUCCAGCUGACAGACACCAUGCUACAAAAACAUGUUUAAUGCCCAGAGUCCACCUGCCUGAGAAGAGGGAGUCCCCAUACUGUAGCGGGGCUGUAUCUCUACAGUGGCUCAGGCUGCCCAGCUUGCCUCCUACUCCCAAUCUAAGCACUUCUUACUGAACUCAGUCUACUUCUCUGACAAAAUCCUGUGCCACUUUUGUGCCAGCAUGAUCAAAGGCCUCCUCACCACUGCCAACCUUCAUCAGCACAUUGUGAAGACUUGGAUCCAGAACAUGCAAAUGAUUGAUGGGAAGCCAGAAUACAAGAGUGGGCUGAAUGGGCUGAUGAAGGUUGUCCACUGUGAGGGCUUCUUCAGCCUCUGGAAGGGCUUCAUACCAUACUAGGCCCACCUGGGCCCCCACACUAUCCUCAUCUUCAUCUUCUUGGAGCAGAUGAAUAAGGCCUACAGACAUCUAUUCGUUGGUGGCUGA